This is a long non-coding RNA of Acinonyx jubatus (cheetah), 2283 nucleotides long. RefSeq lists it as uncharacterized. The transcript is spliced from 6 exons. The record is from RefSeq and is a predicted model, not a curated record. Lineage: Eukaryota; Metazoa; Chordata; Mammalia; Carnivora; Felidae.
CCGAAUCCGCGGCGAGCAAAACUGAGGAGAAGGCGGAAAUACCGUACCUGUGGUAGUUGGCGUUAGUCACACAAUGGCGUGUGUUUUAUUGUAAGUGUUUUUUGUCUCUAGGUAGCUUUACAAUAGUGGUCUAGGUCAGUGUUUUUUGGUGUGUGUGUGUGUGUGUGUGUGUGUGUGUGUGUGUGUGUGUGUGUGUUAACGUUUAUUUAUUUAUUGAGAGAGCGCGCAGGCGCGCGGGAACACCAACCUGGGGAGGGGUAGAGAGAGCGGGAUAGAGAUCAAAUUCCAAGCAGUCUCCGCAUUGUCAGUGCAGAGCCAGAUGUCGGGCUCCAUCUCGGAACCAGGAGAUCAAGACCUGAGCAGAGAGGAAAAGUCAGACAUUUCACUGACUGAGCCACCCAGGCGCCCCAGGCAUGAAAUAUCUGAGCAUUUGUUUGUGUCAUCUUCAAUUCUUGCAUCAGUAUUUUACAGUUUCCAGAGUACAGAAAGAGCAUUUUACAAUCCAAUACUCAAAGUGAUGGAAAAAUGUUUAGAAGAAUGGGGUAAGCAUUACAGUAUCCAGUUCUCCAUAAUAUAGCUGUCCUGGAGCAGCAGAGGGCCUCUGGAGGGGCCAUGUGGCAAAAACCUGAAGGUGAUCUCUAGAAGCUUAGAGUGGCCUCAAAUCAACAACCAGCAAGAAAAAGGUUCCUAACCACACAACCCAAAAGAACUGAAUUCUCCUAACAACUAUGUGAGCUUGGAAGAGACCCUUAAGCCUCAGGCUUUUGCAUUGAACCAUGGGCUAGCCAAGCUAAAUUCCAAAAGUUUAAAGACAACUUGGAUGAGAAGCAGGACAAAUAAAAGAUAUAUUGUGGAAAACAUAACAAGUUUCACAAGAAUUACUUUGCAAAAAAAGGUGGAGAUGGAGUGCUUCCUUUCCCGUGUUGCUGAUGCUGCCAUGGAAUUACUUUGGAAGAAUUACAGAUGGUAUUAAUUACAGUUUCAACAGCAACCACCAUCCGUAUGGCAUUCUGCAAAGUGUUUGCUUGUAUUUUACCUCGGUCCAGAAAGCCUGUGACGUAGUUUCAGUAGGUGCUCUUGUCAUUCCUAACGUACAGAUGAACCAGAAAUUUGGAGCGGUUGAGAGACUUUCCCAAGGUCACGUGCUCUGAUGGCAGUGGCACUCAGGACAGAGUCCUGAUCCGUCUUCUUCUAAACCUCUGAUGAGCUUCCACGUAAGGUAUAAACUCUCGCCCCUCGUGCAUGCAACACAACUUUUGAAGGUCUGUGAAAAGCAUUUGGAAUAUAUGGAUUAUACUUGGGAAUACCUUUUCUUUUUUCAGCAACUAAAUCAUUGUCCCUUCUCAUAAAGCUUACCACGAUUUCAGGGUACCCCAAGAAUUAUUGACAAGGUUAUUUUCAAAUGGCCAACUUAUGGAGAGGUAUUCUAAUAAAACUAAAUUAGGUUUAUGCUUUCUGUCUGUUAUCAAACAACAAAUAGUAAGAGUGGUAUAAAUUCCUAUAUUGAGGGAAAGAGAGCAGAUGCUCUAAACCUGCUUUGCCCAAUGUAGAGGCUGCUAACCAUGUGUAGCUAUUGAAAUUUAAAUUAAUUUUUAGUAAGUUAAAUAACAUAAAAAUGCCAGUUCUUCAGUCACACUAACCACAUUUCAAGGGUUCUGUAGCCACAAGGGGCCAGUGACUAUUGUAUUGGGCACCACAGACAUAGAACAUUUUCAUCUUUGCAGAAAGUGCUGUUGGAGGGGCGCCGGGGUGGCUUAGUUUAUCGUCUGACUCUUGAUUUCCACUGGGGUCAUGCUCUCACAUUUGGUGAGUUCGAGCCCAACACCCAGCUCUGUGCUGACAGCAUGGAGCCUGCUUGAGAUUUUCUCUCUCCUUCUCUCUGCCCUUCCUGUGUACCCUCCCUUGCCCUCCCCACCCCCCCACUCUCAGAAUAAAUAAAUAAACAUUUAAAACAAAGAAAGUCUUAUUGGACUGUGCUGGCCUAAAGUGUAGCUGUUGUUACCCAUGUCGGUCUGCUUCUUUCUCGAGCAACUCUAGCUCUAUAGAGUUGUCCUCAAGGGUGAGUGGUAUGAGGUGUGUGUGUGUGUGUGUGUGUGUGUGUGUAAAAUGAACCAUGAUUCUAUUCUCCACCAAAAUGCUAGGAAAACCAGCAAGUCGCAAAUAAACAUAGACUAUUUAUGUGGCUUCUCUUGAUGUGGGAAGAGACUCAAAUCUCUAUGUUAAUAUCAGUCAACCCUUAAGACAAUUUCAGCAAUAGACUGUUGUAUGAAAAGAGUUGUAUGA